UCAGGUACGAAAUUAGGGGUUGCAUUUCAGUUAUUUCCUGAUCAAGGAGACAAGAAUUGCAAUGCGUGCUGCCAUUUUAGAAUACUACAAUCGUUCCCUGCUGCGAAACACGGCAUUUAAUUUUCACUGAAUUGUUUCUGAUGAUUAGGCCAAUUCCGUUCUUUAUUCAUGACGCAAGAAUUAAACCCCUGCAAAGCGUGCUCAACCUUCAAUAAUAUAUGAGUAAAUCAAAGUGUCUCACUGUCGCAUAAAAUCUCUGUUCUAAGGGAAGGCUUCAUAAAACUAGCACCUAUAAAGAAUUCAACGCAUGUAUCUUUGUGAACGCAAACUUGCAUUCCAGUUUUAAGAAAUAACGCUCGUGUGUGCAGACAUGAACCAUGGUGUGACGGUCCGUGUAGAAUUGAUACAAAGAUACGCGCGAUGUUAGGUGAUAAAGAAGGCUCUUAUGUCUAGGAUAAAAAAAGCAAUAGUAUUACUCUAGUGUAGACCUCAUUAUAUACGCUUCUUUCGGCAAAAUAACAAGUUAUGUAAAAAACUAGGUAAGAAAAUACGACGACGUUAGGAAACAACUUGACGGAGACAGUCGCGGACGACGUAUAAUGGCGUCAUCGCGUGACCUGGCAAGUUUUGCCCAUCCUUGUCGUUAGGAUCAUGUGACAUUGUGAUGUCAUCAAAAGUGGCAAUUUUCGCAGCUCCUUUCCUGACGGUACUGGCACAAACGAAUAAUUUUUAAAUGGCGCAUUUGAGGCUCUCGUCUUCAAAAUUCACUCACUGCGUAUCACACGGCAGGUAUGUGGCUAAAGUGGCGUGUUACAAUGAGGCCCCUUCAAGGGGUUUGCAGCAGGUGUCUAGGUAACGGGAACGUAAAUUACAGGUUAUGCAGAUGAACCUGUUUACUGAAUCAUUUUGCUCGAACACACUGUGCAGACCUUCCUGAAGUGAGGCAGCUGAAAUUGACAGAGAUGGACAAGGAUUCCAUAACUGUUUCCUGGCAACCACCGGAGGGCUGCUUUGACGGCUACAUAGUAGAAGUCGCUCCAGAAAACAGCGGAAGCAGUGGUGUUGGAGGCCUCAGUGUGGGCUCCUGUGCGGGUGGAAUCAGUGUUGACGCUGAACACACUAGCAUCACGUGCAGGAAAAUAGAAGCUUGCAGCGUGAAAAUCACCAUAUUCCAGAGGUGCUACCGACGCUUGAAGUGGCUAAUGACACAUUUGUACAGCACUGGAACCGGACACCUGGCUGCUUCGACAAGUACAAUCUCGUGGUCGCCUAUCAACCUUACGAACAUUCGAUCUUUAAAACGCCACGUAUUGGUUCAUGUGUUGGGACAACCCAUCUAGAGCCUGAUGUUACAAGUGUUACUUGUUCCAAACUGCCAGCCUGCGUAAACACCAGUGUAAUCCUGCGCACUCAGCGAAAUGGACCACAUGGACGUGUUUCACGUAGUGAAGCAUUGUCUGUGUAUUCUAAACAAGGAGCUCUAGUGGACUUUGACCUGUACCUUGAAAAAGUGACAACGACUACGGCUGAUAUCAUAAUAGACCCACAUCUUCCACGGUCCUGCCCACCGCGUUACUGCAGGGCGUUGAUAUGUCGCUUUUACAAGAGUGGAGCGAUCGUGCGUACUUGUUGGGGUGUGGAGUGCGAGGCACGUGUUUCAUACAGUAGCGAAAUGGUCGUGAAAUUGAAACAUCUCACUCCUGGAGGAUUUCAUACGUGCAGAGUUACCCUCAGGUACAACGAUGAAGUCGCAAAACAAAUUGGAUUCAACGCCGUUCAAUAGCAAACACCCUGUACCACAUGGUCUGAAAUGCUCCCUGUCAGAGGAAAACACGAGCGACAAAAGAAACGUCCUCACCUGACCCAUCCUUCAGCUGAGACUUGGAUUGGUAGUCGUCGCAAUGGGUAAAAAAAAACUGAGAUGCCUGCCAAAAAGAAAAAAAGUUAUAUCACCUCAUUUCUGCAAAAAAUAAGACAAUAAAAUUUUGUGCGCGCAUCAGAACGUAUUC
Long non-coding RNA from Rhipicephalus microplus (southern cattle tick), 2009 nucleotides. Lineage: Eukaryota; Metazoa; Arthropoda; Arachnida; Ixodida; Ixodidae. The record is from RefSeq and is a predicted model, not a curated record.